RNAcentral lists this long non-coding RNA (374 nucleotides) under Phoenix dactylifera (date palm). RNAcentral's name for it is "long non-coding RNA (PDAC_LNC005876)". Lineage: Eukaryota; Viridiplantae; Streptophyta; Magnoliopsida; Arecales; Arecaceae. The record is from RNAcentral.
GAAGUUGUGAGAUAUGGGGCUGAAGUCGGCAGCCCCAGCCGACUUCAGCCCCGUCCCCAUUCUAGGAAGGUCGGAACAGAGGAUCGCGAUUGCGAUCCUCUCCGGUUCUUCCGGGGACAAACCAGGCAAGGGCGCCGCAGGAAUCCCGCGGCGCCCUCCCUCCGACCGAUCCGCGGCCAAUCCCGGCCGCGGAAUCCUCUCGGCCGCCGCGAUUCACGCGGCGGAGAGUCGCCGCGAGGGGUGAUAAAAAACCCCCAAGCCCUCCUCUCCUCCGCAUCCUCCUCCUCCUCCUCCUCUUCCCCCCUUCGCUCCUCCUCCUCUCCUUGGUGACCGGCGUCCUCUUCCCGACCGAGCGCCGCCCGGACUCCCUUNNN